GAUGAACGCUGGCGGCGUGCUUAACACAUGCAAGUCGAACGGUGAACACGGAGCUUGCUCUGUGGGAUCAGUGGCGAACUGGUGAGUAACACGUGAGCAACCUGCCCCUGACUCUGGGAUAAGCGCUGGAAACGGCGUCUAAUACUGGAUAUGUGACGUGACCGCAUGGUCUGCGUUUGGAAAGAUUUUUCGGUUGGGGAUGGGCUCGCGGCCUAUCAGCUUGUUGGUGAGGUAAUGGCUCACCAAGGCGUCGACGGGUAGCCGGCCUGAGAGGGUGACCGGCCACACUGGGACUGAGACACGGCCCAGACUCCUACGGGAGGCAGCAGUGGGGAAUAUUGCACAAUGGGCGCAAGCCUGAUGCAGCAACGCCGCGUGAGGGAUGACGGCCUUCGGGUUGUAAACCUCUUUUAGCAGGGAAGAAGCGAAAGUGACGGUACCUGCAGAAAAAGCGCCGGCUAACUACGUG
Molecule: ribosomal RNA, 469 nt
Filed under: uncultured bacterium
Lineage: Bacteria
Description: partial 16S ribosomal RNA
Rfam family: Bacterial small subunit ribosomal RNA
Source: RNAcentral